CCUACGGGGGGCAGCAGUGAGGAAUAUUGGUCAAUGGACGCAAGUCUGAACCAGCCAUGCCGCGUGCAGGAAGACGGCCCUAUGAGUUGUAAACUGCUUUUGUACGAGGGUAAACGCAGAUACGCGUCUCUGUCUGUAAGUAUCGUACGAAUAAGGAUCGGCUAACUCCGUGCCAGCAGCCGCGGUAAUACGGAGGAUUCAAGCGUUAUCCGGAUUUAUUGGGUUUAAAGGGUGCGUAGGCGGUCGGUUAAGUUAGAGGUGAAUUCCCGAGGCUCAACUUCGGAAUUGCCUCUGAUACUGGUCGGCUAGAGAGUAGUAGCGGUAGGCGGAAUGUAUGGUGUAGCGGUGAAAUGCUUAGAUAUCACACAGAACACCGAUUGCGAAGGCAGCUCACGAAUCCGCGAUUGACGCUGAUGCACGAAAGCGUGGGUAUCAAACAGGAUUAGAUACCCUAGUAGUC
Molecule: ribosomal RNA, 460 nt
Filed under: uncultured bacterium
Lineage: Bacteria
Description: partial 16S ribosomal RNA
Rfam family: Bacterial small subunit ribosomal RNA
Source: RNAcentral